Molecule: long non-coding RNA, 613 nt
Organism: Xenia sp. Carnegie-2017
Lineage: Eukaryota; Metazoa; Cnidaria; Anthozoa; Malacalcyonacea; Xeniidae
Exons: 3
Source: RefSeq, a predicted model, not a curated record
AAUUUCUUUAUUAUGAAGAAUAAGCAAAGACAUCAUGUACAUGGUUGCGUCUUCUUUAAUCUUUCUAAAUUUGUUAAGCAAAAGUAAACACAUCAUGUAGUUGGUUGCGUCGUUUUUAAUCUUUCUGAAUUUGUGAAGAUGCAGUCAAGAGAAGAAAUUAAUAACUCCUCUCUGCAGAAAGUACUUACAGACGUUGAAAAGAAACUUGUUGAUCUUUUUAUCCAAGAAUGGAACACUCAUUACAAACAAUCUCUUGGAGAAUGGGAAAAUACAAACGUCAGUGGUCAGAAAUUGUUCAACAUUGAAAGAUGAAAAAAAAUAUUUCGCGAUGAAAAAAUAUUGUCAAAACUUAAAGAUGGUGACACAAGUAAGUGGGAUUGCACGACACUAUGUAAAGCAAUAUUGUUUACCCACUCCAUUGGAACAAACAUUAAUAAUAAAGUUAAAACUGCUGUGGACAAACUUCGUGAUGUAAGAAACAAAUUCAUCCAUGAAAAUAAAGGAAAAGUUUCUGAUUCGAAAUUUCAUACAAUGGUUUGUGAUAUUCAAAACUCAUUUCAAGAUCUAGGAUUUUGAUUCACUGAAAUUAUCAAAAUAAAAAGUGAACGAAACA